CAAGAGGUUGCCCCUCCGGCCGCGCGAAGCCGCGGUGCGUGCGUCCCGCCCCUACCGGACCCCGCAGAGCCAGCCCCGUCCCAUCCCUACAGGACCCCGCAGGGCCUCCCAGUGACCCCUGCCUAGCCCGCCCCAACCCCACAGGACCCCGCAGGGCCGUCCUACCCCUACAGGACCCCGCCCCGCGGUGACCUGUAGAGCUCGCCCCGCCCCCACAGGACCCCGCAGAGUCUCCCAAUGACACGUAGAGCCCGUCCAGCCCCCACAGGACCACAGAGCCAGCCUCGCUGUCACCGGACCCUGCAGAGGCCCGUCCUGCCCCCAGAGGACCCCGCCCAGCUACUUGGUGACCCCCCAAAGCCACUCUGUACCCCCGCAGGACACCACAGAGCCACUUUGUUCCCUCUAGAACCCCCUGCCAGUCUCUGUACCUCCACAGGACCCCACCAAACCUCUACAUCCCCACAGGACCGCCCUUCAUAGGACCCCGCUGAACCUCUCAGUACCUCCAUACAGUACCUCCAUAGGACCCUGCUCCUCCAUUCCAGGACCCCACAGCGCUGGUCUCUAUGCCCUACCCCCCACCCCAGUCUCAGGGCCUCACCUCCCCAGUUAUUCCCGCUUUUACGGUUUUGGGACCCACUGGGCCUACUCCUCCCCUCUCCAACAUGCAUCUUGUUCUCUCCUCCUGUGUCCCUCCCUCUCAGCACAGACCCCCAGGGGGUGGAGACUGAGGCCUGAGCCUUGGGUGUGGUGAAGCCAGGUCAAGGAGCAAGAUGGUGGAGGGUUGGUGCUAGGAGCCAGGGCUGGAGACAACAGACAGCGGAGGCUUCUGACUGGGAUGCUGAUGUGGAGGGCAGUGGUCACAGGAGUAGUGAGGAGCAUGUUGCUCACAGGGGCCAGCCAUCGGGCAACAGUCUGGUUAGUGGCUGGAAGGUGGCCUAACUUGCUGCCUGCCAUCUACCAAGGGGCCCUGGGAGCCUUGGGGACCCUACCCCACCUGAUCCUGAUCCUUCCCCUAGAGCCUCAGAGGUGAAGACCCACAGCCUGCUGAAGGUCAAGAUGGACAGCAAGCAGCUGUGGGCACAGCAGUCACAGCCCACUCAAGAGCAUAGGCAGCCCUUUCCCCCUGGGGGCCAGUCUAGGACCAGGGGCCAACCGGGUGCCCAGAGCAGUAACCAGCACGGAUUGCAAACGCAGUACUGGGUAAGUAAGAGGAGGCCACCUCUGGAAACCCGGACUUUGCGGGGGCUAGUUGGGGAGGGGAUCAGGCAGGGAAUACAGGGGCCUGAAUGGAGACAGAGGGGCAGUAUGCUCUUUCCCCACCAUCCUGUACCCUUUUUGCCUCUCUAUGCCGGGCAGAGUGGAGGCCCACCCGAGGUCGGGAAGAUGUCCAGUGCCCCUCACUCCUGGCCAAGAGAGUAUCUUGAAUUGGAGGGAGAACAAGCUUCCAGGGCAGGGAUGUGCUUGGUUCCCACAGUAGUGAGAGAGACAGACAGAUCCAGCUGUGCCUGCCCAUGGGCAUUCCCUGAGCCGAGGAAUCCAGACUACCUGUGUGGUUCCGCUUAGGGAAGGUUCAAAGCCAGGCCAGACAGGUCCAUACUUCUGUAAGACAGGAGCUCAAGGGCCUCCCAGGCUGCCAGGUGCUGGUCCUGCAGGCAGACAGUGCAGGCAGCCUUUUGAGUCAUGCAUUUGGGUCUGUGUGUGUCCAGCACGUGUGUCCACUGAAGUCAAGGGGGGGAGUAAGAAGGCUCUCUGAGCUGCCUGCAUGACUGCUCUGUGCCCUCCUGGGUACUUCCUUAUGUGGGACCCAGUACUGGGGCCACUGGGGUGAGGGACCAGCAAGACCCUUUAGCUACUGAGGGACUUGCCUUCUGAUAGGUGGUAUAGCCAGUAGGUACACAGGAGGAGUGGGCCUGGGCUAGCUUUGCACAAACCCCAGGGCCUUGCGGCAGAGAGAGCAGGGACAGGAGGAGACACUGCAGUGUCUUUCACACCUGGGUCCUUCCAGGGUUGCUCCUGUGCAAAGUUCCUUGGCCUCUCCCUUGCUUCUGACUGUGGCCCUGAAAGGCACCCAGACUGCCCUCUCUAACUUUCUGUCCCCUGGACGUAGAAUCUUUUUCUUCCAGAUCUUCCCUUAAUUGGCCUCUUCUCCGGUGUCACCUCCCAGGCUAACUUAAGUCCUUCAUCCUUCCCCUUUCCCAACCUGGGUCUCAAGAGCCACUGCCUCUGCUGUGCCUGACUACAGCCCCCAGUGCCAUGCGUGGUGCCAGAACAUACUCACAAAGAUGAGCAGCCUUGGGCUGACAUCAGGCCAAGGAGGUCUUCCCCAGCACAGGGUCUCCAGACCACCAGCCUAGACCAGUGGGUGAAGC
This 2375-nucleotide long non-coding RNA is filed under the name Marmota monax (woodchuck). The record is from RNAcentral. Lineage: Eukaryota; Metazoa; Chordata; Mammalia; Rodentia; Sciuridae.